RNAcentral lists this ribosomal RNA (429 nucleotides) under Pseudomonadota bacterium. RNAcentral's name for it is "Proteobacteria bacterium partial 16S ribosomal RNA". It matches the Rfam family "Bacterial small subunit ribosomal RNA", at positions 355 to 776 of the family's 1533-position model. Lineage: Bacteria; Pseudomonadati; Pseudomonadota. The record is from RNAcentral.
UGGGGAAUAUUGGACAAUGGGCGAAAGCCUGAUCCAGCCAUGCCGCGUGUGUGAAGAAGGUCUUCGGAUUGUAAAGCACUUUAAGUUGGGAGGAAGGGCAGUAAGCGAAUACCUUGCUGUUUUGACGUUACCGACAGAAUAAGCACCGGCUAACUCUGUGCCAGCAGCCGCGGUAAUACAGAGGGUGCAAGCGUUAAUCGGAAUUACUGGGCGUAAAGCGCGCGUAGGUGGUUCGUUAAGUUGAAUGUGAAAGCCCCGGGCUCAACCUGGGAACUGCAUCCAAGACUGGCGAGCUAGAGGAGGGCAGAGGGUGGUGGAAUUUCCUGUGUAGCGGUGAAAUGCGUAGAUAUAGGAAGGAACACCAGUGGCGAAGGCGACCACCUGGGCUCAUACUGACACUGAGGUGCGAAAGCGUGGGGAGCAAACAGG